This 253-nucleotide ribosomal RNA is filed under the name uncultured bacterium. RNAcentral describes it as "partial 16S ribosomal RNA". It matches the Rfam family "Bacterial small subunit ribosomal RNA", at positions 524 to 776 of the family's 1533-position model. The record is from RNAcentral.
UACGUAGGUCCCGAACGUUGCGUGAAUUUACAGGGCGUAAAGGGUCCGUAGGCGGUUUAGCAAGAGGUUGGUGAAAUUUCACGGCUCAACCGUGAAACUGCCUUCCAAACUGCUAAACUUGAGGCAGGGAGAGGUAGGCGGAAUUCCCGGUGUAGCGGUGAAAUGGGUAGAUAUCGGGAGGAACACCAGUGGCGAAGGCGGCCGACUGGAACCGUCCUGACGCUGAGGGACGAAAGCUAGGGGAGCAAACCGG